GACGAACGCUGGCGGCGUGCCUAAUACAUGCAAGUAGAACGCACAGUUUAUACCGUAGCUUGCUACACCAUAGACUGUGAGUUGCGAACGGGUGAGUAACGCGUAGGUAACCUGCCUGGUAGCGGGGGAUAACUAUUGGAAACGAUAGCUAAUACCGCAUAAUAUUAAUUAUUGCAUGAUAAUUGAUUGAAAGAUGCAACUGCAUCACUACCAGAUGGACCUGCGUUGUAUUAGCUAGUAGGUGAGGUAACGGCUCACCUAGGCGACGAUACAUAGCCGACCUGAGAGGGUGAUCGGCCACACUGGGACUGAGACACGGCCCAGACGCCUACGGGAGGCAGCAGUAGGGAAUCUUCGGCAAUGGACGAAAGUCUGACCGAGCAACGCCGCGUGAGUGAAGAAGGUUUUCGGAUCGUAAAGCUCUGUUGUAAGAGAAGAACGGGUGUGAGAGUGGAAAGUUCACACUGUGACGGUAUCUUACCAGAAAGGGACGGCUAACUACGUG
RNAcentral lists this ribosomal RNA (505 nucleotides) under uncultured bacterium. RNAcentral describes it as "partial 16S ribosomal RNA". It matches the Rfam family "Bacterial small subunit ribosomal RNA", at positions 28 to 507 of the family's 1533-position model. The record is from RNAcentral.